CACAACUUAAUAUUAAUAUUGGCGAUGGUGAUUCCUGGAAUACAUAUACAUAUGCACAUUCGGUCAAGGGCCGUUUGCCGUUACAGUACGGGCGAGAUGUAUGGAUCUUCGAAUUAAUUGGAUCGUCUUCACCACCACCUGGUGCCGUGAAAUUGAGAGUGGUUGUCCCUUGUCGUUAAUAUGCGGCUAUUGGCCAACACUAAUGGGACAAGGGCCACUCGACGGGUUGAUUAACGGAUGCACCCGGAAUCACCACACACGAAUAUGUCCUUUUUGGCCGAUAAUUAGUUUGGUAAAGAGAAAAAAAAAAAAUCAGAUAAAUGCAGACUUACAUAUUCAUUAACGAAACGGGACCGGGGGCUGAACAACCGGACGGCCAGGAGAGAUUCGCAGCAGCACACAGCGGAUUCACUGGGUGAUCCUCGAGGUAUACUAGAUUUUCCUUUAUAUCGUGUAGAUCGAAUCGGUUUCCAUGCGGAGGUGUGCCGUUGAUGGGCGAUGUUGAAUUCCCAGACAACAAAGGAUGAAAUAACCAUGCGGUCGUCCACUCGAAACUUGUAUCACCAGGACACUACUCUGCCUGGUGCCGCCGUGAUCCAAUCACGACCUUUCGCGCCGUGUUUACCGCUUGCGAUGCUGCGUGCGAUUCUCUGUUUGUGCGUCGUGUGCCUGGCCAUUCGGGUGUCCACUUUCGGCCAUUUUUUUAUUUUUAUGAAUUGUAAUGAGAAAAAAAAAAUUGUAUUUUAAAUGCAUCAAUAAAUAAAAUUAGUUAUGACCUUU
Molecule: long non-coding RNA, 780 nt
Organism: Chrysoperla carnea
Lineage: Eukaryota; Metazoa; Arthropoda; Insecta; Neuroptera; Chrysopidae
Exons: 4
Source: RefSeq, a predicted model, not a curated record